This is a long non-coding RNA of Hirundo rustica (Barn swallow), 642 nucleotides long. RefSeq lists it as uncharacterized. The transcript has 3 exons. The record is from RefSeq and is a predicted model, not a curated record. NCBI's taxonomy places the organism in Eukaryota, Metazoa, Chordata, Aves, Passeriformes, Hirundinidae.
UGGUUUGCUAUCUUACUUUUGCCUGAUGAUUCAUUAAUAGACCUGUUUUUAGCUGCCCGGCUCAAGUGCUGUGGGACUGUAUCCUGUUGAGGAGGUUGUUGUCCACACCUCUGCUUCCAGGCUCGUCUGCAUUUAUGGAAGAGCAGGACCUUGCUGUUUCCUGACACUCCUUUGAGAGCUUAAACUUGGAGUAGCUGUCUCUAAAGUUAGGUUUUUGAUUUUGGAACUGAAUGGUUUCCUUCAUCUGUACACUGCACAUGUGGUAAUAACUGCUCCAGGAGGCUCAGAGGUGGCAGGUCUGCUUCAGAGAGUUUGAAUCUUCUGGAGAAACAGAAUUGACAAGACCUGAAUGUCUAAUAAAAAAAAAAAAACCCUGAGCAGAAAUGAAGACAACCAAAUAAAGUUUAAAAAAUCAGCAAAACAAAAGCUGGCCUGAGGGUUUCAGGCUCUACUUUGUAGGGCAUAAGAAGCAGGUGUAAAAGUAGAGCUGUUUUUACCUCUGCACAUCCCUUUUAUUGGGAGCAUCCCUGAGCACUCCAGCUCCCGGUGGAGGGACUGGGAUUGUAACCUGGAAGCAGCUUGUGAGUGCUUGGGCAGCGCUCACAGCCUGAACUGAGUCAGAGCAGCUGCAUCUUUGGUCAU